This 316-nucleotide ribosomal RNA is filed under the name Matachiinae sp. Queensland CG275. RNAcentral describes it as "partial 12S ribosomal RNA". The record is from RNAcentral. Lineage: Eukaryota; Metazoa; Arthropoda; Arachnida; Araneae; Desidae.
AGGAAGUACUUCCCAAACAAAACCUAUUUACUUUGGCGGCAUUUUAUCUUAAAAGAGGAACUUGUCCUUUAAUCGACACCCCCCGUUAAAUUUCACUUAUUUUUAUAAUUUAUAUACCGCCGUCUUAAGAAUUAAUCUUAAUAUAUUUCUCUCAAAAACAUAAUAAAAAAUCAGGUCAAGGUGUAAUUUACAUUUAAGUAAAGAUGAGUUACAAUAAAAUUUAUUUAAGGAUAAAAAUAAAAAAAAUUUUUUUGAAAAAGGAUUUUUAAGUAAUUCAUAAAAUAAUCAUUUUAAAUGAAUAAGAUAAUAAAUGUGC